Molecule: ribosomal RNA, 422 nt
Filed under: uncultured bacterium
Lineage: Bacteria
Description: bacterial SSU rRNA
Rfam family: Bacterial small subunit ribosomal RNA
Source: RNAcentral
AGAGGCUUCGGCAAUGGGGGCAACCCUGACCGAGCGACGCCGCGUGCGGGAUGAAGGCCCUCGGGUUGUAAACCGCUGUCAGGAGGGAAGAAUCCUUGCGGGCCAAUACCCCGGAAGUUGACGGUACCUCCAGAGGAAGCUCCGGCUAACUCUGUGCCAUCAGCCGCGGUAAUACGGAGGGAGCGAACGUUGUUCGGAUUUACUGGGCGUAAAGGGCGCGUAGGCGGUUUUGCAAGUCAGAGGUGAAAUGUCCCGGCUCAACCGGGAACCUGCCUUUGAAACUGCAGAACUUGAGAUCGUGAGAGGAGACUGGAAUUCCUAGUGUAGCGGUGAAAUGCAUAGAUAUUAGGAAGAACACCAGUGGCGAAGGCGAGUCUCUGGCACGAUACUGACGCUGAGGCGCGAAAGCUAGGGGAGCAAAC